UUUUAAAAGGAAAUAGACCCUCGCACAGUAAGAGCGCUGGGCGUGCGUCAUACAUACACAACUAGAGAGCACAUUAGAAACCUGGCUCUAUGAUGUUAGCGGCGGACGGGUGAGUAACACGUGGGUAACCUGCCUGUAAGACUGGGAUAACUCCGGGAAACCGGAGCUAAUACCGGAUAGUAUUUUGUCCCGCAUGAUACAAAAAUGAAAGAUGGUUUCGGCUAUCACUUACAGAUGGACCCGCGGCGCAUUAGCUAGUUGGUGAGGUAACGGCUCACCAAGGCAACGAUGCAUAGCCGACCUGAGAGGGUGAUCGGCCACACUGGGACUGAGACACGGCCCAGACUCCUACGCCGAGGCAGCAGUAGGGAAUCUUCCGCAAUGGACGAAAGUCUGACGGAGCAACGCCGCGUGAGUGAUGAAGGUCUUUCGGAUCGUAAAGACUCUGUUGUUAGGGAAGAACAAGUUACGAAGAGUAACUGCCUCUGCUACCUCUGACGGUAGGCUAACCA
This 512-nucleotide ribosomal RNA is filed under the name Priestia flexa. Its description in RNAcentral is "bacterial SSU rRNA". It matches the Rfam family "Bacterial small subunit ribosomal RNA", at positions 1 to 503 of the family's 1533-position model. The record is from RNAcentral. Lineage: Bacteria; Bacillati; Bacillota; Bacilli; Caryophanales; Bacillaceae.